GACGAACGCUGGCGGCGUGCUUAACACAUGCAAGUCGAACGAUGAAGCUGGAGCUUGCUCCGGUGGAUUAGUGGCGAACGGGUGAGUAACACGUGAGUAAUCUGCCCUUGACUCUGGGAUAACUGCGGGAAACUGUAGGUAAUACCGGAUACGACACCUUCGGGCAUCCGAUGGGUGUGGAAAGAAUUUCGGUCAAGGAUGAACUCGCGGCCUAUCAGCUAGUUGGAGAGGUAAUGGCUCACCAAAGCGACGACGGGUAGCCGGCCCGAGAGGGUGACCGGCCACACUGGGACUGAGACACGGCCCAGACUCCUACGGGAGGCAGCAGUGGGGAAUAUUGCACAAUGGGCGAAAGCCUGAUGCAGCAACGCCGCGUGAGGGAUGAAGGCCUUCGGGUUGUAAACCUCUUUUAGUUGGGAAGAAGCGAAAGUGACGGUACCAACAGAAAAAGCACCGGCUAACUACGUGCCAGCCGCCGCCGUAA
RNAcentral lists this ribosomal RNA (484 nucleotides) under uncultured bacterium. RNAcentral's name for it is "partial 16S ribosomal RNA". It matches the Rfam family "Bacterial small subunit ribosomal RNA", at positions 28 to 523 of the family's 1533-position model. The record is from RNAcentral.